GUUGGGCCCAAAUCUGAUCCAUGUGUGAGCCAGCUGAACUCAGGAGCGUUCCCAGGGAAGUGACGUUCCACAGCAGCGCCCCCCCGCCCCCCCAGCCUUGAGCCUCCCUGCUUGACACACUCAACUGGGGGCCACAGAGCAAAUUCCAAGACAGAGUUUCAAGAAUGAUGAUUCAGAGGCUCACAGAGGACAUUUACGGGUAAGAGCUUGCUUCAUCUCUAUGGCCAGAACCAGCCUGGGGACACAUGGCAGGUCCAAGGUCCAAACUGCCUGUGGAUCAGCCCAGGGGCUCCUGGGUUUUCCCAGCUACUUCGCGGGGCCAGAUCCUCACAGACAGCCUCUGCUCAGGGCUGACUGCUGCUGAACUUGACCCACGGAAUCCAGCUGUGCUUUUUCUCGCUUCCUCAUUCCUUCUGCUCUGGGAGCUCCAGCCUCAGGUGUGAGGCCCAUUUGGGACCAGCUGACAUUUACCCUUCAAGGAGCCUAUGGAAACACACACGUCCUAACUCCCUAUGCCAGCACCCAUGGCAGACAUUACUAAUCUAUUCUGGAUUCUCUGAUCUAUGCUGGCACCCAUGCAGAUAUUACUGAUUGAUCCUGAGAUUCUCUGACUACCCAAUAUAUGUGCCCCCAGGUGCAUGCAGUGGCUGGAGCUACUGUAAACAGUCUAAAAAACCAGGUUCUGGUAAGAGGAACGACAGAAGUGGCUGUCCGUGUUGGGAUCUGAGCUGGUGGGAAAGCCGUGGGGUCUUCAGAGGUGAGGCAGUGUCCACUGCAGGAAACAGAAGAAACUCUAGGGGAGGGGAUGAGCCCCAGACAGUAGCACCUCCUGCCUCAGUGUCCAGUGACUGUUCCCAGGGCACAUCCCAGCACACAGCUCUUUUGGGUUAAAGGCACACAAAGUCUCUCCCCAGCUGGGUCCUCGGGGGCAGUGGCUGGUCUACUUUGCCUUUGUAGCCCCCAUAUCUUCCACAUGGAGCUGGGCUCACAGGCACUGCCCGCAAAUCUUCCCUUGAGAGGCCCUGGCUUGACCUGAGGCUGUACCAUUUGCCAGAGAGGCCAGAGAAGUGGACUGCGCGGAUCCAGGUGGAGGGGCAGGCAAGAAACUCUUCAACUUGUACGAAAAUCAUUGUGUGAGUGCUAAGUGCCAUUCCUGUGAAUUAUACACAGAUUUAAUACAGUGGGAAAGGAAUCUCCUCCCUCCCUGCUCCGUCUCU
Molecule: long non-coding RNA, 1217 nt
Filed under: Zalophus californianus (California sea lion)
Lineage: Eukaryota; Metazoa; Chordata; Mammalia; Carnivora; Otariidae
Description: lncRNA (ENSZCAG00015016291.1)
Source: RNAcentral